Long non-coding RNA from Ictalurus punctatus (channel catfish), 7759 nucleotides. RefSeq lists it as uncharacterized. The record is from RefSeq and is a predicted model, not a curated record. Lineage: Eukaryota; Metazoa; Chordata; Actinopteri; Siluriformes; Ictaluridae. The transcript has 2 exons.
GUGCCUGGCCAGGCAGAAGGAGGAACAAAAAAUGAGCAAUGUGAAAAUGUAUUGCCCCGGUCAGCUGCUUUUCCCCUACAUGACACACUGGAAAUUCUACAUAACUACACAGUCACAAUUUUCUCUUAGAAUCUAAAAUCUCAAUUACCUCAAAACGCUAGUUUUUUUGUUGUUUUUUUAAACAGGUUUAUUGCUUGAGAAGUGUAAGAAAUUUUUCAAUUGUUCCUGAUCUAAAAAUGACCGUCUCAGUUUCUCUACAGCACGUGUGUGUGUGUGUGUGUGUGUGUGUGUGUGUGUGCGCGUGUGUGUGUGUGCACGCACGUGUGUGAGUGAGAUGGUGCUGAGCGGUUUCAGCACUCUCUCAGAAUCUGUGAGGAUCUACGGCUCCGUUCGCACCUCCUCCGCUAGAGCUGUGCUCCGAAAGAGCGGCAGCACACACUGACUCGCUCCCACACACACACGCAGACACACACACACACACACACUGUGCCUUGCUCGCUCCUGCUUUCCUGAUACUCGUUUGGUUGUGGGGAUUUAACAAACUCGUGGUGCUGCAGGAGGAUGCCGGGGCUUCCUGUGAUGCUCCCGCAGAAAGCUUUGGACUGCCAAGGUCAACGAGGACGAACAAUCCCAGAAGCGGCACUUGAGGAGUGGCAGAAGAACGCGAACGGCUGGUGGGUGGGGGGAAGGAACCGUUGGCAUGCGUGCUGGUCACCGCUAUGCUGCUCCAGCUCUCAGCUUUCUACAUGCGAUGGCAUAAUUUCCAUAGCAACCCGCUCUAACGAAUCUUUUUUUCAAUUAGAGCAGACACAAAACAUACUGCCCUGAGCCAGUAGGCAGUGUCAAGAGCCCAACUCCAUCUUCCUCGCCCCCACAUGGGGGGAGUGAUCCAGCCUCUCCGAGUCAAAGACACCAGGCUGUCUUACAGUAAUGUUCACAAUCCACUUGUUUAAAUGAGACUCAUAUACACAUCAGUGCAGAAAUCAAUGGGCUGUUAAUAAUUAACAGAGAUGUAAUGCUAUAGUGUUUAUUGUGAAAUGCAGAUGAAUGAGUAAGUCCUGAGAAAAGCUGGGCUUGUGUGCAGUCACUGAGAAUGUGAUGUGUUUCAGACCUGGCAGAAUUGCCACAAGCAGCAAAGCUGUUCUUUCUGGCUAGAGAGUUAUGCACUUGAGUUCAUAUCCACCUCCAGUUUCCCUCCCCGCUGUGCAGCUGAUGUCCGAUCUGAAGCUAUGCAUGCUGCACUAGUAAACAUUGCCCUAAUAAACUCACUGGCGUGGUUUCUAUCUCUCUUCCAGCCAUAGAUGUGACUUUAUUUGCACAAGUACAGGAUUUCAAUAGAAAGUGACAUUUGAAUGAAGCAAUUUCAAACACUAAGUUUAGUCUAAACAAACAUCAGCAUUAUCACACAGAGGUCUUGCAUCAGAGACCAUAUAGGAAGGGGCAGUAUUGUAUUGUGACUGGUUAAAUGUAAUCAGAUCAGGGUGGGAAUAAGCUUAAUAUCACACACUUAGUAAAUAAGUAAUGAAGAGCGAAGUAAAAUGUUUAAUGUGAAGUCUGCAUGUGACAGUUAUGCCAAAAGACACUUUCCACGUUUGUAUUUAUCUAAUCUUUUAUAUAAAGGUAUUUUUAAAUAAAUAUUUUCACCAGUGUAGCAAAUACACUCACACCAUCUCUUUGUCCAGAACAUAACCCUGCUUUUUUAAAAGAAUGUGUCUUUUAAUCGCAAAAUCUCAUUAUGUUAUUGAUGCAAUUGUUACAUACAAACCACUGAAAAUUAAGAAACCACAUCCAAGGCAUGAGCAUGUUUGUCUAAUUAUGCUGGUGAAAACUAUACAAUUAAAUUGCUGUUUCAUGCAAAAGAUUAAUGACAAACUAAUAAGAUAAAACAUUUCUUCAGACUAAUGAUGAGAGAGAUGUGGCCUGAAAUGGACCACUAGAACACAGGGAUGACAUAACACAGAGCUAAACAUUAUAAUACACUGUACUUAGGCACUAGAGUAUCCAUGGCAACUUGCCUUUGCUUUGCAUGGCAGCUCCUUAAUGAAAUCCCUAUUAAGUAGCCUAUAAUGAUAGUGUCCAAAUAUAUUUGCAUACAUAUUUCAGGGAAGGGAGGGAGGUGUGGGGGUGCCAAGCACAAAAGUAGAACGCUCAGUGAGCGCAUCUACGCUUAAUCUGUAACAUUAAUCUGGAUGAUAACAAGCCUGCAGCACAGGAGCAGGCGGACACAAUGCACAUCAAAAUAAACCACUAUCUGGGUGGGUAAAUAAGCCGCACUCCGUGGCUGCACCAUUAAAACUCUAAUUAAGGCCAGUGGCCGUGUGUGUGAGGAGGCCUCCUGCAAAGCCUGGGCCUGCUCCGCUCCGCUUGCCUCCGAGGAUCCACACACAGGAGUUCACACAUGUGACUUUCAUUUGCGACUCUGGCUGGCCGCCCAACAGGACAUCCCCAAGUGAGUGUUUGCUCGACUCAAUAUCAACAGGCCAAGUAAGCAGCUCCAGGGAAGGGCCCUGAUUCAGUUCCUAUUGAAAAUAAACUGACGCACAUUUGCACGAGCUGGAAUAUCAACACGCGCAAGCAGGAGCCACGUAUAGCACUCAGCAGUGUUCUCUCGCUCUUUUUCUCUCCUGUUUAAUGAUACCUGCACCACUUCAGCAGCUGCAGGGAGAAUUGAAGUAUACAUUACAGCAGAGAAAUAAAAGAGACAGAAAUGAUAGAAGUCAGACAGUUCAAGCUGACCAGCCACUUCAAACAGAAAGGCCCGACAAACGCGACAGACACUCCAGGUUAAAUUGGCUCUUCGGCACCUUGCCUUAAAAUGUGGCUUUCUUCAAAAGCACAUUUGAAUUAAGACGAGUUGAUGAAAUCAAAGACUUGACUGUGUGGGUAAAUUUAUACAAGCAAGUACACCUCACAGCAGUUUACCUAUUAUGCAGCAGAUUGGAGCGAGAUGAAAGCAUACUGCAUGACAGCCUACUUACCUUUUCACACACACAAGAUAUUAUCAUAUUGUAAAGGCUGCAAUUUGUAUUAAAAUCACAUUGGGGGGAAAACGUAGGUGACAAGGCUUGAGAUGCACACGGCUGCCAAACUUGUAAUCAGAUAAAAGGAUAUGCACUAAAGGCUCUAUAACCACCACUCAAUGUAUUCAGUACAAUGAAAUAAAAACAAAAAAACCCUCAAAAUACACUAAUCCAUUUUGUUCAAAUGCUCUAAAAAAAAAAAAAAAAAAAAAAGAACAAAAGAGAGAGGGAAACAAUAAGAUAACAUAAGUGACAUAAAUUACACACUCAGUUGGAAGUGAAAUUUGUAACUUUAAUACAAUGAGGAAAAACAGAGACAGGGAUAGAGAGAAAGACAGAUACAGAUGGAUCUAUUCAGGAUACUUUCAUGUUACAUCAGAGUUCAGGACUACCAUGAGUCUCUUCCAUUCAGCAGUUUAACACUAUUCAAACAGACACAAAUUAAACAAAAAAGAAAGAAAAUUAAUCGAGGAAAAUGGCAUCCCACCAAAGAAUAAUAAACUCAUUAUAUGGAAAUUUCAAACGUAACCGUUCUCCAUGCCGCUGCUAAUUUAAACCCAAUUGUUACUAGCCACUAAUUCGUUGAGGGCGGGGAUAGGAAUUACAUCUGGAGGUAAUUCACUGCAUGGAACUGAGCCCAGUGGGGGCUACCCAAAGAGAGAGAGAGAGAGAAAGAGAGAGAGGAGAAGUGGGGGAAGUAAGGUUUUGGUCUCUGAAAACUGCCGAAUGUUUGCAUGGUGCUGUCAUUUGACAGGGCUUAGAGCAGACCUAGGUGUAGGAGACAUGGAAUAGGGGACAAAAGACAGGCAGAGACAAACUGAGGUAACCUCUAAGCAAGAAUCCAGCCCGCUGUCUGUUACAAAGUCAAAAAUGGCUUAGUAACAUAAGUAGCCCAGGCUUAAGGGUAAACUGGUCUAAAUGGACAAUCCUGUCCAAAAUCAAAUGAGGUUACCAGUGAAGUCGGGCUACCCAAAACUGGUCAGUCUACACAAGUGUCUUGUGUUUGACUUAAUCUACUAUAAAUUGUAUAUCUAUAGACGCAAGGAUAAAGUAAGGUAUGCUUUAAAUUAGGGCUGCAACUAACGAUUAUAUUGAUAAUAAAUUAAUUUGUCGAUUAUUCAUGCGAUUAAUCGAUUAGUUGGAUUGAAAGACCCGUUUUUAUUUCCUGCAUUUCGGGGGGGGGAAACAACAACAAAUAAACAUGUUAUUUCACAUUCUGCCCAGUGUUGUCCUACAAAUGCUGUGCAAAUUGAAGGCUAUGAAAAAAAGUAUUCAAUGUUUCUAUGUGGGCUUUGCUAUACAUUCUGCAAAGGAUUUUUAAAAAAUAUAUAUUAACAUUAUAUUUUGAAAACAAAAAACUAGCUGUUUGUCCACAAGCUUUAAAGCAGAAAUUAAAAUGUUAAAAAAAAAAGAAAAAAAAAAAACACAAACUAAGUGUUAACUGGUAAGAGGUUGAAUGUUCCGCAGUAACACACACAUUCACUCAUCUGAACAUGUUACUUUAUUCUGUAAAUGCAUGACACUUCUUACACUUAUAUACAAUUCCAUGUUCUAACCCCAUUACAGUUACUGCUCUCAUACAAAAACACAAUUACUUUAGUUUCUAAAUAUCACUAAAUAUAGCAUCAAACAACAUAUUUGAUCAAAAUGAAUAUUUUAGUCAGCGUUAUUGCGCUUCCUUUCUAUUGCAUGCUGUUUUAUUGGCGCGCAUGCGUGGACUCGUGCUCGUUCGGUGUUCAAAUGUAAUGGAGACUCACUUGCUGUCAGGACGAGCCUUUAUGUAAAAUGGCGUGAAUUUCUAACAUUUACAGAUAAGGAUAUAAACAUAAAAAUGUAAUGUCUGUGCUGAAGAAAACAUGUCUGGAACACAUUAAACAGCACACGGAUCUGACACGACAAGCCACGUUAAUACACUUACGAGUUUGUGUGAAGCGCUUAAUAUAAAACAACAGCUCACUCUGUGACCUCCGCGGAUUUUCAGAUGUGUUUUAUUCAUAGAAAUGCGUUUUUCACCAUUGUGAAGGGGUUAUCCAGUGACAUCACAAACCCAACUAACUGAUAAUGAAAUUCGUUGUCAAUUAUUUUAAUUAUCGUUUAUUAUCGAGUUUAUCGAUGAGUUGUUGCAGCUCUACUUUAAAUUGAAAAAUGUAACAGAACAAUUUUUUUUUUUUUAUAAUUGGAGCCCAAUCACAACCAAUACAAAGACAUGCAAGAACUGUUUGUGCUACAUAACAGCCUUACACUAGAAAAAAAAGGUGAGACUACAUGUUGGCUGUCUUGAUGGCGAGUGUGGCAAAAACCGCACACCAGUCGCACGCCUCUCUGCUGGUCCUAGUAGGAGUGCAAUGCAAAGUUUGGGCUCCAAUUAUCGUGGGUGAAAAGUAGCUCAAAGAAGACAUUUACAUUCGAUACAGAGCCGGGCAGCCCCCUCCUAUCCAUCUUCAGCUUCUCUUGAGGUGAACAGAAAAUGUGUUUUCCAAAUGAAAAUAAACGGAGGUUGGCUGGUUUGAGGCAGUUAAACUCAGGAAUAUGAGAUCAAAUAAAGGCUCCUGUGGAGUCUGAAAGGAGAAAUGAAAUCGCUUCUGAGGGGAGAUGUACCAAGUAAUAAAAUCACUCCUUUAUAUCUUCCUAAACGGCACAUGUUCCUCAGGAGUGGUUAAGCCUUUGCGCUGCGGUCAAAGACAGUAUGCAAGUGGCAAUUUUUACUUCCCAAAGAUUUCCCCCCACUGAUAUCGUUCUUCAGUCUUGUGCUCUGCAAUUUGGCCAAAACGGCUAACUCUUUCACAUUCGAGUUUGCGGCAAACUUUUUGUGAGAAUUGCUUUAAUGACGUUUCGGGUCUGACAGCAUGUGAAAAAGUCCAUAUUCUAUCAGGUAAAAAUGACCGUAAUAACAUUGCCAUUGGUUCAAAGGCCUCACGCUCAGGCUGUAGCCAUUAUGAAACACACUUAGUUGAUUGAAGACUGAUGGCAUACUGCACAAACAAAAAAAAAACACUUUCAUUCUGUAGGGUCCUACACUGCAUGGAUCUUUUCUCUCUCUCUCUCUCUCUCUCUCUCUCUCUCACACACACACACACACACACACAUAUACACACACACACACUCUGCCCCAACCAUUCAGCCGUCCAUAAACUGAUUGACAGCAGAAUUGUGGUGCAUUAUCAAAAACAUGUAAUUGAUUUGUCUUUUUAAAACGUAACCACAAUAAUAUUCAGACCACAUUUAGCCACCAUCCUCAGAUAUAUCGAAGGGCAUUAGCAAACGAAGGAAUACAUUAUAAAUUAUAAUACAGCAGUUAUUAUAGUUCCAAUAAAAAGGGCUUAGAAAGUGAAAUGAACCACUUAUCAGUUUGCUGCCUCUCUACCUUAAAAGCGUCCAUGUUCUAUAAUUUAAGUGCAGAAACAGUCUGACACUGAAAACAGGAGUGAAUGGACAAAUAUUCACCAACACAAAUGGCUUCCAUUAAUUCAGCGACCAGCAGAAAUGUAAGUGUUCGUGCUAAAAAAAAUGAAAAAGAAAAAAAAUGUAGGAUUUAAAGCUAUAGUGUUAACUCCAAAAACCACAAAUCCCAUUUCAAUUAAAAGCAUGAUUUUCAAUUAAAAGCUGAACAAACACACAAACCCAUACACACUAACAUGAAUUUGAAAAGGGGAAAAUAAAAAAGUCCUCGCGUUCUUGAGAAAGCUUAUCAAAUGGCAUCUACACCUAUACAUUUACGGCAUUUUAGCAGACGCCCUUAUACAGAGUGACUUACAUUUAUCUCAUUUAUACAACUGAGCAGUUGAGGUUUAAGGGCCUUGCUCAAGGGCUCAGCAGUGGUAGCUUGGAGGUGCUUGGAUUUGAUCUAUCGACCUUCUGAUCAAAAGUCUAAGAUCUUGACCACUGAGCUACUUUAAUAGAAACAAGCAGACACUAAAAACUUUUUGCAUUUUGAUAUACAUUUGAAAUACUUUGGGUGAUAAUGAUUUGCAGUUACUGUAAUAGAUUUAUUUUGACCUUGUACCAAAGCACAGUGUUUUUUUUAACUCUACACCCUCCCACUCACACAACAGACUCACACACAAACAUGCAUAUUAUAAAUCAGAAAUAAAUCAUAUAAAUGAAGCCAGCCUUUAAGAAAACUGUAAUUAAUAAAUAAAUAAAUAAAUAAAUAAAUAAAUAAAUAAAUAUUCCGAUGGAUGAUUUUCAAUUUUGCAUCCAAACUCUAUCAUACUGCAUAGCAACACUCCGUAUUCCCAAUUAUUUCCAGACACCUACAACUUUUUUGAUUCAUUAUCUUACUUCAGUUCAGCACAGCAAGGAUUUUUGCAGCCUGCCUACAAAGGGUGAUGGAAAAGAGAAGGUUAAAAAAAAAAAGUGCCCAACAGCUGCUGCUGGGCCAUCUACAAGCACAUACACCAUCCACCUCCCCAAACAAACAGAAGACCGACUUCAAAUACAUAGCUGGACUAUUAGGUAAUCCCUCUUUUGUUUGGAUUCACUGAGCCUUGAUGGCCAGCCUCCAUCUUCCCCACUGCUGCUGAAGGACUGAAGCCUUAAACUAACACUGUUACUGUGAAUGCCAGCAUACAAACAGACACACAGUAAAUAUCUAUCAGGACUGCAGAAAAACGCAGGUCAGAAUUGACGUCAACACUGGUUCUGCUCCUUGCAGUGAGCAAUCACGAAAGGAGAACAUUACAGAAAGAGCAGCAGGCGGCUGUAGAGGGUUCUUUUGUUUGGCCCGGACAAAAUCGGGG